This 467-nucleotide ribosomal RNA is filed under the name uncultured bacterium. RNAcentral's name for it is "partial 16S ribosomal RNA". It matches the Rfam family "Bacterial small subunit ribosomal RNA", at positions 29 to 507 of the family's 1533-position model. The record is from RNAcentral.
ACGAACGCUGGCGGCGUGCUUAACACAUGCAAGUCGAACGGAAAGGCCCUGCUUUUGUGGGGUGCUCGAGUGGCGAACGGGUGAGUAACACGUGAGUAACCUGCCCUUGACUUUGGGAUAACUUCAGGAAACUGGGGCUAAUACCGGAUAGGAGCUCCUGCUGCAUGGUGGGGGUUGGAAAGUUUCGGCGGUUGGGGAUGGACUCGCGGCUUAUCAGCUUGUUGGUGGGGUAGUGGCUUACCAAGGCUUUGACGGGUAGCCGGCCUGAGAGGGUGACCGGCGAAAUUGGGACUGAGAUAAGGCACAGACUCCUACGGGAGGCAGCAGUGGGGAAUAUUGCACAAUGGGCGGAAGCCUGAUGAAGCAACGCCGCGUGCGGGAUGACGGCCUUCGGGUUGUAAAACGAUUUCGCAUGUGACGAAGCGUGAGUGACGGUAAUGGGUAAAGAAGCACCGGCUAACUACGUG